RNAcentral lists this ribosomal RNA (254 nucleotides) under uncultured bacterium. Its description in RNAcentral is "partial 16S ribosomal RNA". It matches the Rfam family "Bacterial small subunit ribosomal RNA", at positions 524 to 776 of the family's 1533-position model. The record is from RNAcentral.
UACGUAGGGUGCAAGCGUUGUUCGGAUUUACUGGGCGUAAAGGGCGCGUAGGCGGCCACCGCAAGUCGACUGUGAAAUCCCCGGGCUCAACCUGGGAAUUGCGAUGGAGACUGCAAGGCUAGAAUCUGGCAGAGGGGGGUAGAAUUCCACGUGUAGCAGUGAAAUGCGUAGAGAUGUGGAGGAACACCGAUGGCGAAGGCAACCCCCUGGGUCAAGAUUGACGCUCAUGCACGAAAGCGUGGGGAGCAAACAGG